RNAcentral lists this ribosomal RNA (465 nucleotides) under uncultured bacterium. RNAcentral describes it as "partial 16S ribosomal RNA". It matches the Rfam family "Bacterial small subunit ribosomal RNA", at positions 28 to 507 of the family's 1533-position model. The record is from RNAcentral.
GACGAACGCUGGCGGCGUGCUUAACACAUGCAAGUCGAACGGAAAGGCCCUGCUUGCCGGGUACUCGAGUGGCGAACGGGUGAGUAACACGUGGGUGAUCUGCCCUGCACUUCGGGAUAAGCCUGGGCAACUGGGUCUAAUACCGGAUAGGAGCCAUUUUUAGUGUGAUGGUUGGAAAGUUUUUUCGGUGUAGGAUGAGCUCGCGGCCUAUCAGCUUGUUGGUGGGGUAAUGGCCUACCAAGGCGGCGACGGGUAGCCGGCCUGAGAGGGUGGACGGCCACAUUGGGACUGAGAUACGGCCCAGACUCCUACGGGAGGCAGCAGUGGGGAAUAUUGCACAAUGGGCGCAAGCCGGAUGCAGCGACGCCGCGUGGGGGAUGACGGCCUUCGGGUUGUAAACUCCUUCCGCUAGGGACGAAGCUUUUUGUGACGGUACCUAGAUAAGAAGCACCGGCUAACUACGUG